AGCCCCUGUACGUUUAGGUAUCUAAAACAGAACUGUUAACAAAUCCCUAGACACCUCUAUCUCUAUAGGGUUAAUGAAAAACUACCUGUUAUUUCAUGCUAAUUUCUCGGCCCACAGGCAGAGAUCUCAGAUGUGACUCCUGUAGAAGAGACCAGGGAGAUGUCACCUGGGCAAUCAACAGCAAGUAAACCAUCUGACAGAUCCUUUAUCUUGGAUAAAAUGAGUGAAGAAGACGAUGCCUAUGACUUUACCACAGAUUAUAUAUAGCCUUCUAAAUGUUCAAGUGUGCUCUGUACAGUGUUUCUAGAUUGCUUUGGUAUGAUAUAAAGUGUAAAUCUUGUGAAUAUGUAUCAUGUUCUAAAUUAAAAACAAAAUAAAAAGUGUUUGUA
This 389-nucleotide long non-coding RNA is filed under the name Rattus norvegicus (Norway rat). RNAcentral's name for it is "long non-coding RNA NONRATT011742". Lineage: Eukaryota; Metazoa; Chordata; Mammalia; Rodentia; Muridae. The record is from RNAcentral.